Molecule: ribosomal RNA, 860 nt
Filed under: uncultured bacterium
Lineage: Bacteria
Description: bacterial SSU rRNA
Rfam family: Bacterial small subunit ribosomal RNA
Source: RNAcentral
AGUCGACGAUGAAUCUUCUAGCUUGCUAGAAGUGGAUUAGUGGCGCACGGGUGAGUAAUGCAUAGGUUAUGUGCCCUUUAGUCUGGGAUAGCCACUGGAAACGGUGAUUAAUACUGGAUACUCCCUACGGGGGAAAGUUUUUCGCUAAAGGAUCAGCCUAUGUCCUAUCAGCUUGUUGGUGAGGUAAUGGCUCACCAAGGCUAUGACGGGUAUCCGGCCUGAGAGGGUGAUCGGACACACUGGAACUGAGACACGGUCCAGACUCCUACGGGAGGCAGCAGUAGGGAAUAUUGCUCAAUGGGGGAAACCCUGAAGCAGCAACGCCGCGUGGAGGAUGAAGGUUUUAGGAUUGUAAACUCCUUUUGUUAGAGAAGAUUAUGACGGUAUCUAACGAAUAAGCACCGGCUAACUCCGUGCCAGCAGCCGCGGUAAUACGGAGGGUGCAAGCGUUACUCGGAAUCACUGGGCGUAAAGAGUGCGUAGGCGGGGUAAUAAGUCAGAUGUGAAAUCCUGUAGCUUAACUACAGAACUGCAUUUGAAACUGUUACUCUGGAGUGUGGGAGAGGUAGGUGGAAUUCUUGGUGUAGGGGUAAAAUCCGUAGAGAUCAAGAGGAAUACUCAUUGCGAAGGCGACCUGCUGGAACAUUACUGACGCUGAUGCACGAAAGCGUGGGGAGCAAACAGGAUUAGAUACCCUGGUAGUCCACGCCCUAAACGAUGGAUGCUAGUUGUUGCCUUGCUUGUCAGGGCAGUAAUGCAGCUAACGCAUUAAGCAUCCCGCCUGGGGAGUACGGUCGCAAGAUUAAAACUCAAAGGAAUAGACGGGGACCCGCACAAGCGGUGGAGCAUGUGGUUUAAUU